GGGUAGGUGGCCGAGUGGCCGAUGGCGGCCGUCUGUAAAACGGCAUCCCGAACGGGACACGGUGGUUCGAAUCCAUCCCUGCCCACCA
Molecule: transfer RNA, 88 nt
Filed under: Rhodanobacteraceae bacterium
Lineage: Bacteria; Pseudomonadati; Pseudomonadota; Gammaproteobacteria; Lysobacterales; Rhodanobacteraceae
Description: tRNA-Tyr
Rfam family: tRNA
About the family: Transfer RNA (tRNA) molecules are approximately 80 nucleotides in length. Their secondary structure includes four short double-helical elements and three loops (D, anti-codon, and T loops).
Source: RNAcentral